GGGAGUAUAGCUCAAGUGGUAGAGCGUGUGCUUAGUAUGCACAGGGUCCUGAGUUCAAUCCCCAGUAUCUCCU
This 73-nucleotide transfer RNA is filed under the name Camelus ferus (Wild Bactrian camel). It matches the Rfam family "tRNA". From Rfam's summary of the family: Transfer RNA (tRNA) molecules are approximately 80 nucleotides in length. Their secondary structure includes four short double-helical elements and three loops (D, anti-codon, and T loops). Further hydrogen bonds mediate the characteristic L-shaped molecular structure. tRNAs have two regions of fundamental functional importance: the anti-codon, which is responsible for specific mRNA codon recognition, and the 3' end, to which the tRNAs corresponding amino acid is attached (by aminoacyl-tRNA synthetases). tRNAs cope with the degeneracy of the genetic code in two manners: having more than one tRNA (with a specific anti-codon) for a particular amino acid; and 'wobble' base-pairing, i.e. permitting non-standard base-pairing at the 3rd anti-codon position. The record is from Rfam by way of RNAcentral. Lineage: Eukaryota; Metazoa; Chordata; Mammalia; Artiodactyla; Camelidae.